AGAGAUGCAUUGGGCGUAAAGCGUGCGCAGGCGGUUUUGUAAGACAGAGGUGAAAUCCCCGGGCUCAACCUGGGAACUGCCUUUGUGACUGCAAGGCUGGAGUGCGGCAGAGGGGGAUGGAAUUCCGCGUGUAGCAGUGAAAUGCGUAGAUAUGCGGAGGAACACCGAUGGCGAAGGCAAUCCCCCUGGGCCUGCACUGACGCUCAUGCACGAAAGCGUGGGGAGCAAACA
This 231-nucleotide ribosomal RNA is filed under the name uncultured Alicycliphilus sp. RNAcentral's name for it is "partial 16S ribosomal RNA". It matches the Rfam family "Bacterial small subunit ribosomal RNA", at positions 548 to 774 of the family's 1533-position model. Lineage: Bacteria; Pseudomonadati; Pseudomonadota; Betaproteobacteria; Burkholderiales; Comamonadaceae. The record is from RNAcentral.